GAUGAACGCUGGCGGCGUGCCUAAUACAUGCAAGUCGAGCGAACGGACGAGAAGCUUGCUUUUCUGAUGUUAGCGGCGGACGGGUGAGUAACACGUGGAUAACCUACCUAUAAGACUGGGAUAACUUCGGGAAACCGGAGCUAAUACCGGAUAAUAUUUUGAACCGCAUGGUUCAAAAGUGAAAGACGGUCUUGCUGUCACUUAUAGAUGGAACCGCGCUGCAUUAGCUAGUUGGUAAGGUAACGGCUUACCAAGGCAACGAUGCAUAGCCGACCUGAGAGGGUGAUCGGCCACACUGGAACUGAGACACGGUCCAGACUCCUACGGGAGGCAGCAGUAGGGAAUCUUCCGCAAUGGGCGAAAGCCUGACGGAGCAACGCCGCGUGAGUGAUGAAGGUCUUCGGAUCGUAAAACUCUGUUAUUAGGGAAGAACAGAUGUGUAAGUAACUGUGCACAUCUUGACGGUACCUAAUCAGAAAGCCACGGCUAACUACGUG
RNAcentral lists this ribosomal RNA (497 nucleotides) under uncultured bacterium. RNAcentral's name for it is "partial 16S ribosomal RNA". It matches the Rfam family "Bacterial small subunit ribosomal RNA", at positions 28 to 507 of the family's 1533-position model. The record is from RNAcentral.